Long non-coding RNA from Clupea harengus (Atlantic herring), 674 nucleotides. The record is from Ensembl. Lineage: Eukaryota; Metazoa; Chordata; Actinopteri; Clupeiformes; Clupeidae.
UGAGGGCCUCUGACCUGUGACUUACACCAACGCUACCGUGUUAUUUUACAGUUCUGCAAGGAUUGCUAGUUUCUCUCUGGUUACAACAAUUACAACUGACAGUGCAGGUUGCUAUGGUAACAAAUGGUACUUGUGUCUCCAAUGGUUGCUGGUACUACAAGUAUGGACUCCCACUAAUUAACUUACCGUGUGGAACGGGGACUGUUAAGAUACUUAGUAUUUAUUAAAACAGUUAGUAUCACGACACUGUUAUUACUCAAAACCACAUUUGAUUUAUGCCUUGGCAGUUUCAAUGGACCUGGUAGGGUCCUGGAGUUACUCAGGGGGUUGGAUUCUUAUCUGUUAUUGCCACAAUAUCACUGAAGCCAACAAUACCAAUCCUCACACGGGUCGCACCAAAUUAUGUAGGUGAAACCGGGGUUAUUACAUUAAGUUAAUUAAAUCAGUCUCAUAAAAUUUAAUAAUCAUUAAAUUUAGUAUUUAAUUACUAAACAAUGGAAAGCUCUAGUUGUAUCACUAUGCUACAGUCUAAGUAUGGUAUCACAAUACUAAAGUACUACAAUAUCACUACACAGUCUAUAACACUUCAUGAAACAACUAGAAAAGUGAAGGCAUUUGAAGUACUUGAUUGGCGAAAAAUGGCUUUCAGUGUAAUAUUGGAACAAUAACAGGCA